CCUACGGGAGGCAGCAGUGGGGAAUAUUGCGCAAUGGACGAAAGUCUGACGCAGCAACGCCGCGUGAGGGAUGACGGCCUUCGGGUUGUAAACCUCUUUCAGCAGGGACGAAGCGAGAGUGACGGUACCUGCAGAAGAAGGACCGGCCAACUACGUGCCAGCAGCCGCGGUAAUACGUAGGGUCCGAGCGUUGUCCGGAAUUAUUGGGCGUAAAGGGCUCGUAGGCGGUUCGUCACGUCGGGAGUGAAAACUCGGAGCUUAACUCCGAGCCUGCUUCCGAUACGGGCAGACUAGAGGUAGGCAGGGGAGGGCGGAACUCCUGGUGUAGCGGUGGAAUGCGCAGAUAUCAGGAAGAACACCGGUGGCGAAGGCGGCUCUCUGGGCCUUACCUGACGCUGAGGAGCGAAAGCGCGGGUAGCGAACAGGAUUAGAUACCCUGGUAGUCCACGCCGUAAACGUUGGGCGCUAGGUGUGGGGGACAUUCCACGUCCUCCGUGCCGCAGCUAACGCAUUAAGCGCCCGCCUGGGGAGUACGGCCGCAAGGCUAAAACGUCAAAGGAAUUGACGGCUGAGAGUUGCGAGCGACGACGAGGAGAG
Molecule: ribosomal RNA, 597 nt
Filed under: uncultured bacterium
Lineage: Bacteria
Description: bacterial SSU rRNA
Rfam family: Bacterial small subunit ribosomal RNA
Source: RNAcentral